RNAcentral lists this ribosomal RNA (444 nucleotides) under uncultured bacterium. Its description in RNAcentral is "partial 16S ribosomal RNA". It matches the Rfam family "Bacterial small subunit ribosomal RNA", at positions 354 to 796 of the family's 1533-position model. The record is from RNAcentral.
GUAGGGAAUAUUGGGCAAUGGAGGCAACUCUGACCCAGCCAUGCCGCGUGCAGGAUGACGGCCCUCUGGGUUGUAAACUGCUUUUAUCUGGGAAGAAAAAGGCCAUGCGUGGCAAAUUGCCGGUACCAGAUGAAUAAGCACCGGCUAACUCCGUGCCAGCAGCCGCGGUAAUACGGAGGGUGCGAGCGUUGUCCGGAUUUAUUGGGUUUAAAGGGUGCGUAGGCGGCUGAUUAAGUCAGCGGUGAAAGACUUCGGCUUAACCGGAGCAGUGCCGUUGAUACUGGUUGGCUUGAGUGUCGGAGGGGUACAUGGAAUUGAUGGUGUAGCGGUGAAAUGCAUAGAUACCAUCAGGAACACCGAUAGCGAAGGCAUUGUACUGGCCGACAACUGACGCUGAUGCACGAAAGUGUGGGGAUCGAACAGGAUUAGAUACCCUAGUAGUCC